UACGGGGGGGGCAAGCGUUGUUCGGAAUUACUGGGCGUAAAGGGCUCGUAGGCGGCCAACUAAGUCAGACGUGAAAUCCCUCGGCUUAACCGGGGAACUGCGUCUGAUACUGGAUGGCUUGAGGUUGGGAGAGGGAUGCGGAAUUCCUGGUGUAGCGGUGGAAUGCGCAGAUAUCAGGAAGAACACCCGUGGCGAAGGCGGCAUCCUGGACCAAUACUGACGCUGAGGAGCGAAAGCCAGGGGAGCAAACGGG
RNAcentral lists this ribosomal RNA (253 nucleotides) under uncultured bacterium. RNAcentral's name for it is "partial 16S ribosomal RNA". It matches the Rfam family "Bacterial small subunit ribosomal RNA", at positions 524 to 776 of the family's 1533-position model. The record is from RNAcentral.